RNAcentral lists this ribosomal RNA (237 nucleotides) under uncultured Lactobacillus sp. RNAcentral describes it as "partial 16S ribosomal RNA". It matches the Rfam family "Bacterial small subunit ribosomal RNA", at positions 126 to 355 of the family's 1533-position model. Lineage: Bacteria; Bacillati; Bacillota; Bacilli; Lactobacillales; Lactobacillaceae. The record is from RNAcentral.
UAGCCCAACGAGAUCGGGAUAACACCUGGAAACAGAUGCUAAUACCGGAUAACAACAGAUGAUGCCUAUCAACNGUUUAAAAGAUGGUUCUGCUAUCACUCUUGGAUGGACCUGCGGUGCAUUAGCUAGUUGGUAGGGUAACGGCCUACCAAGGCGAUGAUGCAUAGCCGAGUUGAGAGACUGAUCGGCCACAUUGGGACUGAGACACGGCCCAAACUCCUACGGGAGGCAGCAGCC